RNAcentral lists this non-coding RNA (795 nucleotides) under Neomyia cornicina. The record is from RNAcentral. Lineage: Eukaryota; Metazoa; Arthropoda; Insecta; Diptera; Muscidae.
AUAUGAAUUUUAUAAAGUUUUAUUUUAGCUUAAUAAUUUAUUAUUAAUUUAAUUUAUAUGUAAAUUUUUAUAUGAAUUUUUAUUUAUUUUAAUAAUAAAUAAAUUAAUUAUAUUCGCAGUAAUUAGUAUUAUUAAUUAAGGAGAUUUAGAUAUAGUAAUAUUAAAUAGUAUUGGCUAAAUUUGUGCCAGCAGCCGCGGUUAUACGAAUAAUGCAAAUAAAUUUUAUUAGUAAAAGUUAAAUUGAUUUUUUUUAAAAUAGAAAUUAAUUUAUUAGGUAAAAUUUUUAAAUUAUUGUUAUUUUUAAUUUAUUAAUUGAAGCUUAAAAAUUUUAAAAAAAAACUAGGAUUAGAUACCCUAUUAUUUAAAAUGUAAUUUAAAAUACUUAGGUAGUAGUAGUUAUGUUCUUGAAACUUAAAAAAUUUGGCGGUAUUUUAGUCUAUUCAGAGGAACCUGUUCUGUAAUCGAUAAUCCACGAUGGACCUUACUUAAAUUUGUAAUUAGUUUAUAUACCGUCGUUAUUAGAAUAUUUUAUAAGAAUGUUAAUUUUCAUAAUUUUUUAUAAGAAAAUAUAUCAGAUCAAGGUGUAGCUUAUGUUUAAGUAGAAAUGGGUUACAAUAAAAUUAUUUAAAUGAAUAUAAAUAUGAAAAAUUUAUUGAAAGUGGAUUUGAUAGUAAAAUUAUAAAGAUUAAUAAUUUGAUUUUAGCUCUAAAAUAUGUACACAUCGCCCGUCACUCUUAUUAUUAAGAUAAGAUAAGUCGUAACAUAGUAGAUGUACUGGAAAGUGUAUCUAGAAUG